Molecule: ribosomal RNA, 253 nt
Filed under: uncultured bacterium
Lineage: Bacteria
Description: partial 16S ribosomal RNA
Rfam family: Bacterial small subunit ribosomal RNA
Source: RNAcentral
UACAGGGGGGGCAAGCGUUGUUCGGAAUUACUGGGCGUAAAGGGUUCGUAGGUGGCCAACUAAGUCAGACGUGAAAUCCCUCAGCUUAACUGGGGAACUGCGUCUGAUACUGGAUGGCUUGAGUGUGGGAGAGGAAUGCGGAAUUCCAGGUGUAGCGGUGAAAUGCGUAGAUAUCUGGAGGAACACCGGUGGCGAAGGCGGCAUUCUGGACCACAACUGACACUGAGGAACGAAAGCCAGGGGAGCAAACGGG